UCCAACGGGACGCAGCAGUGGGGAAUAUUGGGCAAUGGGCGCAAGCCUGACCCAGCAACGCCGCGUUAAGGAAGAAGGUCUUCGGAUUGUAAAGUUCUUUAAUUGGGGACGAAAAAAAUGACGGUACCCAAGGAAUAAGCCCCGGCUAACUACGUGCCAGCAGCCGCGGUAAUACGUAGGGGGCAAGCGUUGUUCGGAAUGACUGGGCGUAAAGGGUGUGUAGGCGGGGUAGCAAGUUAGCAGUGAAAUACCUAGAGCUUAACUCAGGUGGUGCUCCUAAAACUGCUAUACUUGAGUGCAGUGGA
Molecule: ribosomal RNA, 305 nt
Filed under: uncultured bacterium
Lineage: Bacteria
Description: bacterial SSU rRNA
Rfam family: Bacterial small subunit ribosomal RNA
Source: RNAcentral